RNAcentral lists this ribosomal RNA (229 nucleotides) under uncultured bacterium. RNAcentral's name for it is "partial 16S ribosomal RNA". It matches the Rfam family "Bacterial small subunit ribosomal RNA", at positions 568 to 796 of the family's 1533-position model. The record is from RNAcentral.
UGCGUAGGCGGAUUAAUAAGUCAGUGGUGAAAUCUUUCGGCUCAACCGAGAAACUGCCAUUGAUACUGUUAAUCUUGAGUUCGGUUGAGGUAGGCGGAAUGUGUAAUGUAGCGGUGAAAUGCUUAGAUAUUACACAGAACACCAAUUGCGUAGGCAGAUUACUAGACCGACACUGACGCUGAGGCACGGAAGCGUGGGGAGCGAACAGGAUUAGAUACCCUGGUAGUCC